UACGUAGGGUGCAAGCGUUAUCCGGAAUUAUUGGGCGUAAAGAGCUCGUAGGCGGUUUGUCGCGUCUGCUGUGAAAAACUGGAGGCUCAACCUCCGCCUGCAGUGGGUACGGGCAGACUAGAGUGCGGUAGGGGAGAUGGAAUUCCUGGUGUAGCGGUUGGAAAUGCGCAGAUAUCAGGAGGAACACCGGUAGUCGGAGCGGGAAUCGAC
This 210-nucleotide ribosomal RNA is filed under the name uncultured bacterium. RNAcentral describes it as "partial 16S ribosomal RNA". It matches the Rfam family "Bacterial small subunit ribosomal RNA", at positions 524 to 729 of the family's 1533-position model. The record is from RNAcentral.